This 692-nucleotide ribosomal RNA is filed under the name Boletus albobrunnescens. RNAcentral's name for it is "eukaryotic LSU rRNA". The stretch from base 206 to 360 matches the Rfam family "5.8S ribosomal RNA". Lineage: Eukaryota; Fungi; Basidiomycota; Agaricomycetes; Boletales; Boletaceae. The record is from RNAcentral.
CAUUAUCGAACACACAUACAGAAAGAAGGAUUGACGAACGGACUGUUGCUGGCCUUUUUGGCAUGUGCACGUCUUAGUAAUUUUAUCCUUUUUUUUCGUUCUUAUUCACACACCUUGUGCACACCUUGUAGGCCCUCGAAAGAGGAUCUAUGUCAUUUCACACACACAAUAUAAUUCACAUGGCAUGUAAUCAAAUCAAUUUUACAACUUUCAGCGAUGGAUCUCUUGGCUCUCGCAUCGAUGAAGAACGCAGCGAAUUGCGAUAAGUAAUGUGAAUUGCAGAUUUUCAGUGAAUCAUCGAAUCUUUGAACGCACCUUGCGCUCCUUGGUAUUCCGAGGAGCAUGCCUGUUUGAGUGUCAUUGAAUUCUCAAUCAUGUCUUGAUAUCGAUCUCGAGGCAUGGAUUGGAGUUGGGGGUUGCUGGUGAUUUCUUGUGCUUUCGUCAGCUCUCCUUAAAUGCAUUAGCGAUGGUCUUUGACAUGUAUAGCCGAAUUUCCGACGUGAUAUGCUCUCGUGUCGUGGGCUGGACGUUGUCAGUGUUAGACUUGCAUCGCUUCCAAUCUUAGACUUUUUUGGUCCUUCGAGCAGCCCUUUAAAGCUCUCAAAGCAGAGUAACCUAGUUAUUAGUUGGUCGCAAGGCCAGCGAACACAGGGGGGAAGGUUUCGAAGGAUCACAUCAUGAAUGCUCGACCU